UUUCGCAAUGCCCGAAAGGGUGACGAAGCGACGCCGCGUGGGUGAAGAAGGCCUUCGGGUUGUAAAGCCCUGUCAGGAGUUAAGAAAUGUAGGUGCGAUAAUACCGUACCUAUUUGACAAAGGCUCCAAAGGAAGCCACGGCUAACUCUGUGCCAGCAGCCGCGGUAAUACAGAGGUGGCAAGCGUUGUUCGGAAUUAUUGGGCGUAAAGAGCACGUAGGUGGAUUUGUAAGUCAGGUGUGAAAGCCUUCUGUUCAACGGAAGAAUUGCAUCUGAAACUGCAAACCUUGAGUGUAGGAGGGGAGAAUGGAACUUCUGGUGGAGCGGUGAAAUGCGUAGAUAUCAGAAGGAACGCCGGCGGCGAAAGCGAUUCUCUGGCCUAUUACUGACACUGAGUGUGCGAAAGCUAGGGGAGCAAACGGGAUUAGAUACCCCGGUAGUCCUAGCCGUAAACGAUGGGCACUAAGUAGAGGGGUUUUA
This 479-nucleotide ribosomal RNA is filed under the name uncultured bacterium. RNAcentral's name for it is "bacterial SSU rRNA". It matches the Rfam family "Bacterial small subunit ribosomal RNA", at positions 364 to 833 of the family's 1533-position model. The record is from RNAcentral.